This 252-nucleotide ribosomal RNA is filed under the name uncultured bacterium. RNAcentral describes it as "partial 16S ribosomal RNA". It matches the Rfam family "Bacterial small subunit ribosomal RNA", at positions 528 to 779 of the family's 1533-position model. The record is from RNAcentral.
CGUAGGGCAAGCGUUGUCCGGAAUUAUUGGGCGUAAAGCGCGCGCAGGCGGUUUCUUAAGUCUGAUGUGAAAGCCCACGGCUCAACCGUGGAGGGUCAUUGGAAACUGGGGAACUUGAGGACAGAAGAGGAGAGUGGAAUUCCACGUGUAGCGGUGAAAUGCGUAGAUAUGUGGAGGAACACCAGUGGCGAAGGCGACUCUCUGGUCUGUUUCUGACGCUGAGGUGCGAAAGCGUGGGUAGCAAACAGGAUU